AUUGAACGCUGGCGGAAUGCUUUACACAUGCAAGUCGAACGGUAGAGGGGGCAACCCCUCGAGAGUGGCGAACGGGUGAGUAAUAUAUCGGAACGUGCCCAGUCGUGGGGGAUAACGUAGCGAAAGUUACGCUAAUACCGCAUACGAUCUAAGGAUGAAAGCGGGGGAUCGCAAGACCCCGCGCGAUUGGGGCGGCCGAUAUCAGAUUAGGUAGUUGGUGGGGUAAAGGCUCACCAAGCCAACGAUCUGUAGCUGGUCUGAGAGGACGACCAGCCACACUGGAACUGAGACACGGUCCAGACUCCUACGGGGGGCAGCAGUGGGGAAUUUUGGACAAUGGACGCAAGUCUGAUCCAGCCAUUCCGCGUGCAGGAUGAAGGCCCUCGGGUUGUAAACUGCUUUUGUACGGAACGAAAAGGUCUCUCUUAAUACGGGGGGCUCAUGACGGUACCGUAAGAAUAAGCACCGGCUAACUACGUGCCAGCAGCCGCGGUAA
RNAcentral lists this ribosomal RNA (496 nucleotides) under uncultured bacterium. Its description in RNAcentral is "partial 16S ribosomal RNA". It matches the Rfam family "Bacterial small subunit ribosomal RNA", at positions 30 to 523 of the family's 1533-position model. The record is from RNAcentral.